UACGUAGGGGGCGAGCGUUAUCCGGAUUCACUGGGUGUAAAGGGAGCGUAGACGGCCAUGCAAGCCAGGGGUGAAAGCCCGGGGCCCAACCCCGGGACUGCCCUUGGAACUGCAAGGCUGGAGUGCGGGAGGGGCAGGCGGAAUUCCUGGUGUAGCGGUGAAAUGCGUAGAUAUCAGGAGGAACACCGGCGGCGAAGGCGGCCUGCUGGACCGCGACUGACGUUGAGGCUCGAAAGCGUGGGGAGCGAACAGG
This 253-nucleotide ribosomal RNA is filed under the name uncultured bacterium. RNAcentral describes it as "partial 16S ribosomal RNA". It matches the Rfam family "Bacterial small subunit ribosomal RNA", at positions 524 to 776 of the family's 1533-position model. The record is from RNAcentral.